Dermacentor silvarum is the source of this 182-nucleotide small nuclear RNA. RefSeq annotates it as U2 spliceosomal RNA. NCBI's taxonomy places the organism in Eukaryota, Metazoa, Arthropoda, Arachnida, Ixodida, Ixodidae. The transcript has a single exon. The record is from RefSeq and is a predicted model, not a curated record.
AUGGCCGACGCGGGUCAAAGUGUAGUAUCUGUCCUUAUCAGCUUAAUAUCUGAUACGGGUUUUACUUUGACCCAAGAUAUGAAACUUAUUUUCGCAAGUUGGCGCGCAGUGCUUGAAGCCUGUUUCACAUCCGCCGCAGGACGGCCCGGUAUUGAACUAUCUUCGAGAUCGGCCCACGUUUU